Molecule: ribosomal RNA, 198 nt
Filed under: uncultured bacterium
Lineage: Bacteria
Description: partial 16S ribosomal RNA
Rfam family: Bacterial small subunit ribosomal RNA
Source: RNAcentral
ACGCUCGACACCUACUGGAGGCAGCAGUGGGGAAUAUUGCACAAUGGGGGAAACCCUGAUGCAGCGACGCCGCGUGAAGGAAGAAGUAUCUCGGUAUGUAAACUUCUAUCAGCAGGGAAGAAAAUGACGGUACCUGACUAAGAAGCCCCGGCUAACUACGUGCCAACAGCCGCGGUAAUCUGAGCGGGCUGGCAAGGC